GAGGGUAUAGCUUAGUGGUAGAGUGUGUGCUUAGCAUGCAUGAGGUCAUGGGUUCAAUCCCCAGUACCUCUG
RNAcentral lists this transfer RNA (72 nucleotides) under Camelus bactrianus (Bactrian camel). It matches the Rfam family "tRNA". Rfam says of the family: Transfer RNA (tRNA) molecules are approximately 80 nucleotides in length. Their secondary structure includes four short double-helical elements and three loops (D, anti-codon, and T loops). Further hydrogen bonds mediate the characteristic L-shaped molecular structure. tRNAs have two regions of fundamental functional importance: the anti-codon, which is responsible for specific mRNA codon recognition, and the 3' end, to which the tRNAs corresponding amino acid is attached (by aminoacyl-tRNA synthetases). tRNAs cope with the degeneracy of the genetic code in two manners: having more than one tRNA (with a specific anti-codon) for a particular amino acid; and 'wobble' base-pairing, i.e. permitting non-standard base-pairing at the 3rd anti-codon position. Lineage: Eukaryota; Metazoa; Chordata; Mammalia; Artiodactyla; Camelidae. RNAcentral also lists the same sequence under 2 other names. The record is from Rfam by way of RNAcentral.